This 378-nucleotide ribosomal RNA is filed under the name uncultured bacterium. Its description in RNAcentral is "partial 16S ribosomal RNA". It matches the Rfam family "Bacterial small subunit ribosomal RNA", at positions 338 to 733 of the family's 1533-position model. The record is from RNAcentral.
CCUACGGGAGACAGCAGUGGGGGAUAUUGCACAAUGGGGGGAACCCUGAAGCAGCGACGCCGCGUGAGUGAAGGAGGGCUUAGGCGUGUAAAGCCCUUUUGGCCGGGGAGAAGAUGACGGUACCUGGCCAAGAAGCCGCGGCUAACUACGGGACACCAGCCGCGGUACUACGGAGGGGGCAAGCGUUAUCCGGAAUUACUGGGGGUAAAGGGGGCGGAGGGGGGAAUGCAAGCCAGGAGUUAAAGCCCGGGGGCCAACCCCGGGACUGCUGUUGAAACUGCCUGGCUGGAGUUCAGGAGGGGCAGGCGGAAUGCCUGGUGUAGCGGUGAAAUGCGUAGAUAUCAGGAGGAACACCGGUGGCGAAGGCGGCGUGCUGGA